This 448-nucleotide ribosomal RNA is filed under the name uncultured bacterium. Its description in RNAcentral is "partial 16S ribosomal RNA". It matches the Rfam family "Bacterial small subunit ribosomal RNA", at positions 329 to 793 of the family's 1533-position model. The record is from RNAcentral.
GGCCAGACUCCUACGGGAGGCAGCAGUGGGGGAUAUUGCACAAUGGGGGGAACCCUGAUGCAGCGACGCCGCGUGGGUGAAGGAGUGCUUCGGCAUGUAAAACCCUAUCGGCAGGGAAGAAGCAAGACGGUACCUGACUAAGAAGCCCCGGCUAACUACGUGCCAGCAGCCGCGGUAAUACGUAGGGGGCAAGCGUUAUCCGGAUUUACUGGGUGUAAAGGGGGCGCAGACGGCAGCGCAAGCCAGGAGUGAAAGCCCGGGGCCCAACCCCGGGACUGCUCUUGGAACUGCGCGGCUGGAGUGCAGGAGGGGCAGGCGGAAUUCCUAGUGUAGCGGUGAAAUGCGUAGAUAUUAGGAGGAACGCCGGCGGCGAAGGCGGCCUGCUGGACCGUAACUGACGUUGAGGCUCGAAAGCGUGGGGAGCAAACAGGAUUAGAUACCCUAGUAA